This is a long non-coding RNA of Ruditapes philippinarum (Manila clam), 350 nucleotides long. RefSeq lists it as uncharacterized. NCBI's taxonomy places the organism in Eukaryota, Metazoa, Mollusca, Bivalvia, Venerida, Veneridae. The transcript has 3 exons. The record is from RefSeq and is a predicted model, not a curated record.
UUUUAAGUGCUUUAUCAAAAGGAGUGUUUCAAGCUAAAAAAAUGGAAAAAUGUAGGUGAUUCUAUAACUUUUGACAGGAAUUACAGGUAUGCAUGACCUUUUCAAUAAUGAUUCAGAUGAGAGCACAGAUUGGAUAAUUAAUUUGAGUCUUGCAAAAGUUCCAGCAAAUUUUUUUCCUGGAUAGAUCCUAUAUUGGGAGGACAUAUCAAUAUAAGAGAUGAGUUGCUCAACAUUAAGAAAAUGCCACAUCGUAAAAACACUGAGGGUUUACCCAAGGGUACAUUACUUUCAAAGAAGGUUUCAUGAUCUAAUACCAAGAUUCAAAAGAUUGACAGGUAACUCGAGCUCUU